GCUGUAAAUAUUUUUGCAGAUUUAAUGCUUUAUAUGCCAAAGAAGGAACAAAAUGGCAGCCUCGAAGUCCUGAACCAAAUGUAACUGUCAACAAACUUAGACUGCGUGGGUUGGAAGGCUUCGUAGCAGCAAUAUCUCCCUUUAAUUUCACUGCUAUUGGAGGAAACUUGGCAUAUACUCCUGCAAUGAUGGGUAAUGUUGUGUUAUGGAAACCUUCAGACACUGCUAUACUGAGCAACUUCACCAUCUAUAAAAUUAUGCGUGAAGCUGGUGUACCCGGUGGUGUUGUCAGCUUCAUCCCAAGUGAUGGGCCAGUCUUUGGUGACACAGUAACCAAGUCUCCGCACUUGGCAGCCAUUAACUUCACUGGAUCAGUCCCAACCUUCCAGCGACUGUGGGGGGCAGGGGGUGAAAACUUCCC
Molecule: non-coding RNA, 421 nt
Organism: Cherax quadricarinatus
Lineage: Eukaryota; Metazoa; Arthropoda; Malacostraca; Decapoda; Parastacidae
Source: RefSeq, a predicted model, not a curated record